AGUCAAUAUCUGAUACAUAAGCUAAUGUUAGAUGAUAAAAAUAUAUUUUUAUCAUCUAACAUUAGCUUAUGUAUCAGAUAUUGACU
Molecule: non-coding RNA, 86 nt
Organism: Pelobates cultripes (western spadefoot toad)
Lineage: Eukaryota; Metazoa; Chordata; Amphibia; Anura; Pelobatidae
Source: the annotation of a GenBank genome assembly